UACGUAGGGGACAAGCGUUGUCCGGAUUUACUGGGCGUAAAGGGCACGCAGGCGGUUUUUUAAGUCAGAUGUGAAAGGUACCGGCUCAACCGGUGACAUGCAUUUGAAACUGAAAGACUUGAGUAUUGGAGAGGCAAGUGGAAUUCCUAGUGUAGCGGUGAAAUGCGUAGAUAUUAGGAGGAACACCGGUGGCGAAGGCGGCUUGCUGGACAAAUACUGACGCUGAGGUGCGAAAGCGUGGGGAGCAAACAGG
RNAcentral lists this ribosomal RNA (253 nucleotides) under uncultured bacterium. Its description in RNAcentral is "partial 16S ribosomal RNA". It matches the Rfam family "Bacterial small subunit ribosomal RNA", at positions 524 to 776 of the family's 1533-position model. The record is from RNAcentral. RNAcentral also lists the same sequence under 3 other names.